RNAcentral lists this ribosomal RNA (459 nucleotides) under uncultured bacterium. RNAcentral describes it as "partial 16S ribosomal RNA". It matches the Rfam family "Bacterial small subunit ribosomal RNA", at positions 338 to 795 of the family's 1533-position model. The record is from RNAcentral.
CCUACGGGAGGCAGCAGUGAGGAAUAUUGGUCAAUGGCCGGGAGGCUGAACCAGCCAAGUCGCGUGAGGGAAGACGGCCCUACGGGUUGUAAACCUCUUUUGUCAGGGAGCAAGGUGCAGGUCGGGACCUGCUGUGAGAGUACCUGAAGAAAAAGCAUCGGCUAACUCCGUGCCAGCAGCCGCGGUAAUACGGAGGAUGCGAGCGUUAUCCGGAUUUAUUGGGUUUAAAGGGUGCGCAGGCGGAGGCACAAGUCAGCGGUAAAAUCGCGGGGCUCAACCCCGCUGCGCCGUUGAAACUGUGUCCCUUGAGUACUGGAGAGGCAGACGGAAUUCCUAGUGUAGCGGUGAAAUGCGUAGAUAUUAGGAGGAACACCAGUGGCGAAGGCGGUCUGCUGGACAGCAACUGACGCUGAGGCGCGAAAGCGUGGGGAGCAAACAGGAUUAGAUACCCCUGUAGUC